This 257-nucleotide ribosomal RNA is filed under the name uncultured archaeon. RNAcentral describes it as "partial 16S ribosomal RNA". It matches the Rfam family "Archaeal small subunit ribosomal RNA", at positions 724 to 982 of the family's 1478-position model. The record is from RNAcentral.
UACAUUAGAUACCCCUGUAGUCCCAGCCGUAAACUAUGCUCGCUAGGUGUCAGGCAUGGCGCGACCGUGUCUGGUGCCGCAGGGAAGCCGUGAAGCGAGCCACCUGGGAAGUACGGCCGCAAGGCUGAAACUUAAAGGAAUUGGCGGGGAGCACCACAACGGGUGGAGCCUGCGGUUUAAUUGGACUCAACGCCGGGAAGCUCACCGGAUAAGACAGCGGAAUGAUUGCCGGGCUGAAGACUCUGCAUGACUAGCUG